This is a long non-coding RNA of Lutra lutra (Eurasian river otter), 2941 nucleotides long. RefSeq lists it as uncharacterized. The transcript is spliced from 3 exons. The record is from RefSeq and is a predicted model, not a curated record. Lineage: Eukaryota; Metazoa; Chordata; Mammalia; Carnivora; Mustelidae.
GACCCCAGGGAAGUGUGUGCAGAGGCCACACGGGGAUGCAGUGAGAAGGCCAUCCGCAAGCCAAGGAGAGAGGCCUCAGAGGACACCAACCCUGUCAACACCUUGAUCGUGGACUUCCAGCAUCGGAAACUGUGAGAAAACAAACCUCUGUUGUUGAAGCCAACCAGUGUGUGGUAUCUGGUUCUGGCAGCCCUCGCAAACCAAUACAUGAGGUAACGGGAGAGCCUCUAGCAAAACACAGCCCUCCAACCAUCCGCCAUGGAAUCACCUGGGGGACCUCGGUUAAAUGGACUUCUGGGCCCACUUAAGACUCACUGGAUAAGGAUCUUUUCAUGGAAAUGUACCCUGUGCAGGCUGGAGAGCCCAGUGACCACAAGCCAUAGAAUCAGUCUGACCUGGGUUCACCUCAGUGUUGCCACUGACGACUAAGUUGACCCUACAAAUGGUCAUCUAAAAGGGGAAAAUUAUGAGAAUGAAGCAGGGUUCUUUAACUAAUUACCCUGAGAAAACAGAUAAAAACUAGGGCUGUCCUUAUACCGGGACCUAUGGCCUCCUCAUUAAAACUGGAAACUGAGUGACGGAGCCGAUCAUUUACACGUUUGCAGUCUCCGUGAAUUAUUUAUAAGCUGUGACUAAUGGUAUUGCCCUCCUAGGGGUGUGGCCAGGAUAAAAGAAAGCCUCCGUAACACUCUCACAUGGUGCAGAGCAAUGGGUUUCUCCCAGGCCCGGUACUAGCGCAUUAGACUAAAAUUAUUACACAGCAGAGACUUUCCUCCCGCGUCAUCACUUUGGGGUCUGUGUGGAUAUAAACAACCAUGACGCUUAUCAUGGAAGUCAAAUGAGAUAAUGCAUCUGUCCCUUCUUAAGACUGGUCCCAGAAUGGCGAUGCUUCCAAAAGAAUAAUAGAUGUAUACUAAAACUCUUGAAGAGUAAUGAGAGACUUUUGGAAGGCUUUUGAAAGGGGGGGCCAAAAAAGGGGUGUUACACUAGACAGUGGCAGCAAAUCCACCCCAACCCUCCUAAAGUGUCACCUUUCCCAGAGUCUCCCUCGUCAUGGUACCUCUCUCACCAGCAUCUCAUUUCCAUUGCCCUCCCUCCUACUACUGGCCUAUAAUCCCCUCCUCUCCCUUUCUGUCCCUCUUCCUUCUUUUGUGCAUGACUCUGAGGCAUUUCUUGGCUUAUUCAUGAGACCUUUCCCCACAUAAGGACGUAAGAGCUGAAGAGCUCAAACAGAGAACCCUCCUUGGAAAGAGGGAGGUAUUAGGUGGGUCCCAGAACCUGGAAGCUAUACAGUCUGGAUCAGCAACACCGGAGUUGCUGCAGUGAAAGCACCACAACGUGGCCACCCUCACUUGGGAUGAGACCCCAGAAUGUCCACCAUCGCAGCACCUGUACACUGGCUUCCCCAGCUUGAGCACGCCUCCUUAGGGUCUGCACUUCUGAUCCAGGCUUGUGCGAAGCCGGUUGGUGGGACCUGAGUCCCAUGUGUACAGUGUGCUGCAAAGGAAUGUGGGACUGUGAGAAGUUGGGGAAUAGCAGGGCUCGUGACAUGAAAACUUACCAAGGGGUUGACAAGGGAGUUGGGGAGCCACAGUGACAAAUGCCUAUACCUAGUCCCCUCCCCUGACAUUCACUAGCUGUGCCACAGUGAGGCAGAUUCCGGUGAACUUACUGUCCAUAUCUGUAAAACCAUCAACAUCUGGUGAGGGAGGAUGUUCUGCGACAAAGACUCUAUUUCCCCUGCAUCCAGGUUCUAACCAUCGAAAUACAGUCCAAGGAGCCAGGCAGGGUUCCAGUGUCAGCUUUGGAAAUGACAGUGAUCAAUAACCCAUAGGGCAAAGCUCUCUGGUAGCUUCUAGGAUGAAGAAUGUCAGGGAAGGGGUUUGCAUACCUCAGCAUACUGGAUCCCUUGUUUGCAGAAGGGGUACCCUGGGUCCCAGGGCUUGGCCACCUCAGGACACACCAGUCACAGAUGGAACAGCCAGACCAUGGCUGGCCUUGUUGGGUAAGGAAUCGGGACACAUGAGCUUCCACUGCACACCCAGGUGCCAGCUUUGAACAGCAGGUUCUGAUGCCUUCAGGAAUCUGUCAGCUGGCCCCAUGCCAGCUCAGCUGCAGGGACGCAGAGAAGCUGAACAAGGGCUUGUAUCAUUAUAGGAACACGUCUUCCCAUGCUAGGGCUUGUAUCAUUAUAGGAACACACCUUCCCUUGCUGGGACUUGUAUCAUUAUAGGAAUACACUUUCCUGUGCUUGGCACUGGUGGCAUGUGAGUGGUAAGGGAGCAACAAGGUUUGAAGCCGAGCCAGAAGCUACCAGAAGCUACUCUGUGUACAAUUAUUCCAGGCAUCAAAGUUAUAGUGAUACAUGCAAUAUUCUGUUUCAUUAACACUUCAUCAAAAUGGAACUAUUUUCCCAUCAGGAAUCAAAAUGCACUUUUUCCUUUUACUAAUGGGGAUUGAACAAAAUCGAAUUUAUGAAAAUUUCUGUGUGGGGAGUCCAAUUCUAUGGUAGAAAUUCGAGGAGUGAGUGCAUCUUUGUGUGAAGUCUCAUGUUGUGUACCCAGCACAGCAGACACGACCUGUUUGAUGAAAUCUAAUGGAUCCAGAGGAAACAGCCUGAAGAAGCAAGUGUGUGUUUAAAGUGCUGGGCACUAAUUAUGCUGGAAUGCCGACCAUCACCAGCACAGGUGUUAUGCCAGAGUCUGCAGAAGUCAACUUCACAAAACGCAAUUCCAUGUAUUCCAGUUCAGCAAAUUGAAUCGGAGCAAUGACAUGAGGCCGUCAUUAAUUCAGAUUGUUGGCAGUGGAGCACCUGCAGAAUUCUGCCUUUGAGGGCUUACAGUUAAAAACUCCUUGCAAACAGGGGUGCUUGGGUGGCGCAGUUGGCCGGGUGGCCUACUCUCGGUUUCAGCUUGGGUUGUGAUCUCGGAGUUGUCAGAUG